Molecule: ribosomal RNA, 250 nt
Filed under: uncultured bacterium
Lineage: Bacteria
Description: partial 16S ribosomal RNA
Rfam family: Bacterial small subunit ribosomal RNA
Source: RNAcentral
UAGAUACCCUGGUAGUCCAUGCCGUAAACGAUGAGUGCUAAGUGUUGGGAGGUUUCCGCCUCUCAGUGCUGCAGCUAACGCAUUAAGCACUCCGCCUGGGGAGUACGACCGCAAGGUUGAAACUCAAAGGAAUUGACGGGGGCCCGCACAAGCGGUGGAGCAUGUGGUUUAAUUCGAAGCAACGCGAAGAACCUUACCAGGUCUUGACAUCCAGUGCAAACCUAAGAGAUUAGGAGUUCCUUCGGGGACG